This 72-nucleotide transfer RNA is filed under the name Ornithorhynchus anatinus (platypus). It matches the Rfam family "tRNA". From Rfam's summary of the family: Transfer RNA (tRNA) molecules are approximately 80 nucleotides in length. The record is from Rfam by way of RNAcentral. Lineage: Eukaryota; Metazoa; Chordata; Mammalia; Monotremata; Ornithorhynchidae.
GGAAGUGUGGUCUAGUGGUAAGAGCUUGGGCCUGGGAGUUAGAAGACCUGGGUUCUAAUCCCAGCUUUGCCA